RNAcentral lists this unclassified non-coding RNA (381 nucleotides) under uncultured Tepidisphaerales bacterium. Its description in RNAcentral is "contains 16S-23S intergenic spacer region". The record is from RNAcentral. Lineage: Bacteria; Pseudomonadati; Planctomycetota; Phycisphaerae; Tepidisphaerales.
UCCGGUUUGACACCGGCAGUCCCCUUAGAGUCCUCAACUUAAUGUAGUAACUAAGGGCAAAGGUUUCGCUCGUUAAGGGACUUAACCCGACAUCUCACGACACGAGCUGACGACAGCCAUGCAGCACCUGUGCCAGUUCCACCCUUGCGGGCGUAUCCCACUUUCAUGGGAAUAAUCCAGGCAUGUCAAACCCAGGUAAGGUUCUGCGCGUUGCUUCGAAUUGAACCACAUGCUCCACCGCUUGUGUGAGCCCCCGUCAAUUCCUUUGAGUUUUAGCCUUGCGACCGUACUUCCCAGGCGGUCCACUUAGCACUUUUGCUUCGACCCUGACCGCGUCAGAGCGGCCAGAAUCUAGUGGACAUCGUUUACGGCCAGGACUAC